RNAcentral lists this ribosomal RNA (659 nucleotides) under uncultured bacterium. RNAcentral describes it as "bacterial SSU rRNA". It matches the Rfam family "Bacterial small subunit ribosomal RNA", at positions 94 to 788 of the family's 1533-position model. The record is from RNAcentral.
AGUGGCGGACGGGUGAGUAACGCGUGAGAAUCUGCCUUGGGGUCGGGGACAACCACUGGAAACGGUGGCUAAUACCGGAUAAGCCGAUUGGUGAAAGAUUUAUUGCCCGAAGAGGAGCUCGCGUCUGAUUAGCUAGUUGGUGAGGUAAGAGCUCACCAAGGCAGCGAUCAGUAGCUGGUCUGAGAGGACGAUCAGCCACACUGGGACUGAGACACGGCCCAGACUCCUACGGGAGGCAGCAGUGGGGAAUUUUCCGCAAUGGGCGAAAGCCUGACGGAGCAAGACCGCGUGAGGGAGGAAGGCUCUUGGGUUGUAAACCUCUUUUCUCAGGGAAGAAGCUCUGACGGUACCUGAGGAAUCAGCCUCGGCUAACUCCGUGCCAGCAGCCGCGGUAAUACGGAGGAGGCAAGCGUUAUCCGGAAUUAUUGGGCGUAAAGCGUCCGCAGGUGGCGAUUCAAGUCUGCUGUCAAAGCACGGGGCUUAACUCCGUAAAGGCAGUGGAAACUGAAUAGCUAGAGUGCCGUAGGGGUAGAGGGAAUUCCCGGUGUAGCGGUGAAAUGCGUAGAGAUCGGGAAGAACAUCGGUGGCGAAAGCGCUCUACUGGCGGCAACUGACACUCAGGGACGAAAGCUAGGGGAGCGAAUGGGAUUAGAUACCCC